This 253-nucleotide ribosomal RNA is filed under the name uncultured bacterium. RNAcentral's name for it is "partial 16S ribosomal RNA". It matches the Rfam family "Bacterial small subunit ribosomal RNA", at positions 524 to 776 of the family's 1533-position model. The record is from RNAcentral.
UACGUAGGGUGCGAGCGUUAAUCGGAAUUACUGGGCGUAAAGGGUGCGUAGGCGGCGCGGUAAGUCGGGUGUGAAAUCUCGGAGCUUAACUCCGAAACUGCAUUCGAUACUGCCGUGCUUGAGGACUGGAGAGGAGACUGGAAUUUACGGUGUAGCGGUGAAAUGCGUAGAUAUCGAGAGGAACACCUGCGGCGAAGGCGGGUUGCUGGGCUGACACUGACGCUGAUGCGCGAAAGCCAGGGGAGCGAACGGG